This 71-nucleotide transfer RNA is filed under the name Camelus bactrianus (Bactrian camel). It matches the Rfam family "tRNA". Rfam says of the family: Transfer RNA (tRNA) molecules are approximately 80 nucleotides in length. Their secondary structure includes four short double-helical elements and three loops (D, anti-codon, and T loops). RNAcentral also lists the same sequence under 2 other names. Lineage: Eukaryota; Metazoa; Chordata; Mammalia; Artiodactyla; Camelidae. The record is from Rfam by way of RNAcentral.
GAGAGUAUAGCUUAGUGGUAGAAGUGUGCUUAGCAUGCAGGAGGUCCUGGGUUCAAUCCCCAGUACCUCCA